RNAcentral lists this ribosomal RNA (253 nucleotides) under uncultured bacterium. RNAcentral's name for it is "partial 16S ribosomal RNA". It matches the Rfam family "Bacterial small subunit ribosomal RNA", at positions 524 to 776 of the family's 1533-position model. The record is from RNAcentral.
UACGAAGGGGGCUAGCGUUGUUCGGAAUUACUGGGCGUAAAGCGCACGUAGGCGGAUUGUUAAGUUAGGGGUGAAAUCCCAGGGCUCAACCCUGGAACUGCCUUUAAUACUGGCAAUCUCGAGUCCGAGAGAGGUGAGUGGAAUUCCGAGUGUAGAGGUGAAAUUCGUAGAGAUGCGGAGGAACACCAGUGGCGAAGGCGGCUCACUGGCUCGAUACUGACGCUGAGGUGCGCAAGCGUGGGGACCAAACAGG